UACGAAGGGGGCUAGCGUUGCUCGGAAUCACUGGGCGUAAAGCGCACGUAGGCGGCUUUUUAAGUCAGGGGUGAAAUCCUGGAGCUCAACUCCAGAACUGCCUUUGAUACUGAGAAGCUCGAGUCCGGGAGAGGUGAGUGGAACUGCGAGUGUAGAGGUGAAAUUCGUAGAUAUUCGCAAGAACACCAGUGGCGAAGGCGGCUCACUGGCCCGGUACUGACGCUGAGGUGCGAAAGCGUGGGGAGCAAACAG
RNAcentral lists this ribosomal RNA (252 nucleotides) under uncultured bacterium. RNAcentral describes it as "partial 16S ribosomal RNA". It matches the Rfam family "Bacterial small subunit ribosomal RNA", at positions 524 to 775 of the family's 1533-position model. The record is from RNAcentral.